Molecule: non-coding RNA, 45 nt
Filed under: Schistosoma margrebowiei
Lineage: Eukaryota; Metazoa; Platyhelminthes; Trematoda; Strigeidida; Schistosomatidae
Source: RNAcentral
AUCCAUCUGACGAGUCGUAAACAGAACGAAAUGAUCGUUUUGGAU